CGUGUCGUGAGAUGUUGGGUUAAGUCCCGCAACGAGCGCAACCCUCAUCCUUAGUUGCCAUCACGUUUGGGUGGGCACUCUAAGGAAACUGCCGGUGGUAAGCCGGAGGAAGGUGGGGAUGACGUCAAGUCCUCAUGGCCCUUACGGGUAGGGCUACACACGUGCUACAAUGGCAGUGACAAUGGGUUAAUCCCCAAAAACUGUCUCAGUUCGGAUUGUCGUCUGCAACUCGACGGCAUGAAGGUGGAAUCGCUAGUAAUCGUGGAUCAGCAUGCCACGGUGAAUACGUUCCCGGGCCUU
Molecule: ribosomal RNA, 300 nt
Filed under: uncultured bacterium
Lineage: Bacteria
Description: bacterial SSU rRNA
Rfam family: Bacterial small subunit ribosomal RNA
Source: RNAcentral